AUUCCAGUCUCCCGCCAAGUUUCCUGCUCAAUCUUCUCCAGCAAACUGUUUGGAGAUGGAAAGACAGCAGCUCAGUGCUUUGACUCUCCCUGGCCCUGCAGACAGAGGAGCAGAAGGUGGCAGAGCUUACAGCAGGCUGAAGAGUUCCCUGUAGUUCUCAUCACCUUUUCCUUCGGACACCAGGCUGUCCAGCUUAUCAAUCAACUCGGCUUCCACCUGGAGGAAAAGGGAUCAAAUCAAUCACUCAGACACACUUUCAAUGAACCAGUACCUCUGGUAAACUGAAUCCUGUCCCACAACAGAACAUCCAUCACCACUGGGCUGCUGUGGUGGUUCUGCUGGGAGGUAACUGAUUUCCCACACCCAGGCAUCGUUAUAUUGUAAGAUUAUUUGUUCAUUAAACCCUGUUUUGUCAAGCCUCUCUAUGCCUACAUGACACAUUUGCUUUUCACACUCAUAUAAAGGGCCACAACAGCAUUACUAUGUUUCUCUUAUUUUAGAAAUGUUUUGAAUACAUAUUAAUUCCCACCCUAAAUCUAAUACAUCCUAUUAUCAAGUUUGAUAUCAGAUAUUCUCAUAAAAUUGAUUCAAGUGCAGAAAUCAAUGUAUCUAACAUUAAACAAAACAAUUUCAAGUAGUCUGGGAAAUGCUGCAGAAAAAACACUUUCAGUACAAAUGAAGACAGAAGUUCCCAAAGGCUGAAACCAUGUGCAGGAACACGGUUUGUUUUUAUUUAAAGACAAGCAUAGUUUGAGCUUCUCUAUGUUUUUCAGCUGCCAAAUUGCAAAAGAAGUAAAGAUGAGAAGGAAAAGCAGUUCACCCAGUGGCACACAAAUGGAGUUGGUGCUCUUGCUGCUGAAAUCAUUAAAGGGAGACCAGACUUCAUCCCUGAAUCAGACUGCAUUGUUAUCCAGCCUCGCUGAGAAUCAACCUUGUUAAAACAUGAGCUACUGAAGAAAAUAAAAAAGGCUUGAAAAUUAA
This is a long non-coding RNA of Pseudopipra pipra, 981 nucleotides long. RefSeq lists it as uncharacterized. The record is from RefSeq and is a predicted model, not a curated record. NCBI's taxonomy places the organism in Eukaryota, Metazoa, Chordata, Aves, Passeriformes, Pipridae. The transcript has 2 exons.